UACGUAGGGGGCUAGCGUUGUCCGGAAUCAUUGGGCGUAAAGCGCACGUAGGCGGCUUGGCAAGUCGGAUGUGAAAUCCCUCGGCUCAACCAAGGAAGUGCAUCCGAAACUGCUGAGCUUGAGUACUUAAGAGGAUCGCGGAAUUCCCGGUGUAGAGGUGAAAUUCGUAGAUAUCGGGAGGAACACCGAUGGCGAAGGCAGCUCGCUGGGACGGUACUGACGCUGAGGCGCGAAAGCGUGGGGAGCAAACAGG
RNAcentral lists this ribosomal RNA (253 nucleotides) under uncultured bacterium. RNAcentral describes it as "partial 16S ribosomal RNA". It matches the Rfam family "Bacterial small subunit ribosomal RNA", at positions 524 to 776 of the family's 1533-position model. The record is from RNAcentral.